AUGGCAGAGAGGUCACACCCGUUCCCAUACCGAACACGGAAGUUAAGCUCUCUAGCGCCGAUGGUAGUUGGGACCUUGUCCCUGUGAGAGUAGGACGUUGCC
RNAcentral lists this ribosomal RNA (102 nucleotides) under Bacillus cereus. The record is from RNAcentral. Lineage: Bacteria; Bacillati; Bacillota; Bacilli; Caryophanales; Bacillaceae.